RNAcentral lists this ribosomal RNA (254 nucleotides) under uncultured bacterium. Its description in RNAcentral is "partial 16S ribosomal RNA". It matches the Rfam family "Bacterial small subunit ribosomal RNA", at positions 524 to 776 of the family's 1533-position model. The record is from RNAcentral.
UACGUAGGGCGCAAGCGUUGUCCGGAAUUAUUGGGCGUAAAGAGCUCGUAGGUGGUUUGUUACGUCUGCUGUGAAAACCUAGGGCUUAACCCUGGGCCUGCAGUGGAUACGGGCAGACUAGAGGUAGGUAGGGGAGAAUGGAAUUCCCGGUGUAGCGGUGAAAUGCGCAGAUAGUCGGGAGGAACACCGGUGGCGAAGGCGGUUCUCUGGGCCUUACCUGACACUGAGGAGCGAAAGCGUGGGGAGCGAACAGG